RNAcentral lists this ribosomal RNA (392 nucleotides) under uncultured bacterium. RNAcentral's name for it is "bacterial SSU rRNA". It matches the Rfam family "Bacterial small subunit ribosomal RNA", at positions 30 to 426 of the family's 1533-position model. The record is from RNAcentral.
AUUGAACGCUGGCGGCAUGCCUUACACAUGCAAGUCGAACGGCAGCGCGGGGCAACCUGGCGGCGAGUGGCGAACGGGUGAGUAAUAUAUCGGAACAUACCCUAGAGUGGGGAUAACGUAGCGAAAGUUACGCUAAUACCGCAUACGCACUAAGGUGGAAAGUGGGGGAUCUUCGGACCUCAUGCUCAUGGAGUGGCCGAUAUCUGAUUAGCUAGUUGGUGAGGUAAAGGCUCACCAAGGCGACGAUCAGUAGCUGGUUUGAGAGAACGACCAGCCACACUGGAACUGAGACACGGUCCAGACUCCUACGGAGGCAGCAGUGGGGAAUUUUGGACAAUGGGGGCAACCCUGAUCCAGCAAUGCCGCGUGAGUGAAGAAGGCCUUCGGGUUGU